AUAAAUGUGAAGAGCAUUCCACGUAAUUACUUAGUGCACAAGUUAAGUGUGCUUGACUAUUCCGUAUAUAUAGGCAAAGAAAUGAAAAU
This 89-nucleotide small nucleolar RNA is filed under the name Drosophila melanogaster (fruit fly). RNAcentral describes it as "small nucleolar RNA Or-CD11". Lineage: Eukaryota; Metazoa; Arthropoda; Insecta; Diptera; Drosophilidae. The record is from RNAcentral.